AUUGAACGCUGGCGGCAGGCCUAACACAUGCAAGUCGAACGAGUGGCGGACGGGUGAGUAAUGUCUGGGAAACUGCCUGAUGGAGGGGGAUAACUACUGGAAACGGUAGCUAAUACCGCAUAACAUCAGAUGUGCCCAGAUGGGAUUAGCUUGUUGGUGGGGUAACGGCUCACCAAGGCGACGAUACCUAGCUGGUAUGAGUGGAUGACCAGCCACACUGGAACUGAAAAACGGUCCAGACUCCGACGUGAGGCAGCAGUGGUGAGUAGUGCACAAUGGGAGCAAGCCUGAUGCAGCCAUGCCGAGUGUAUGAAGAAGGCCGUCGGGUUGUAAAGUACUUUCAGCUGGGAGGCGUUACCCGCAGAAGAAGCACCGGCUAACUCCGUGCCAGCCGCCGCGGUAAUUC
Molecule: ribosomal RNA, 406 nt
Filed under: uncultured bacterium
Lineage: Bacteria
Description: partial 16S ribosomal RNA
Rfam family: Bacterial small subunit ribosomal RNA
Source: RNAcentral